GGUGGCGUGUGAGGAACCGCCCUUGCCUGGCUCCCUGCAGGGCAACAGUUGCUUGCCAGCUUGGGAAGGACAAAGUGAUGACUUUUUGGGGAAAAAAGAGUGAUAAUAAUAACACCUCCCUGAGUUUUGGGGUGUUUUUUUUUUUCCACACGGCGAUGCCCAGGCCUUCAUUUUCUCUCAGAAGUCGCCGCCCCUGAGGAAGGCUGAGGGUGGCUUUUCCAGGGGGUGGCAGCAUGGAGAUGCAGCAGGAGGAGUUCGGGACACCCUGGUAUAUUGAAGAUAAUGAUCCUGCUUCUGAAUGGGAGAUAAGAGAGAGACAAAGACAGAGCUGCUGGCUUUUAACUCGCAUGAAAAGCUUCAGAUACUACAGCGAUGAGGACCAUAUAUGAAGACAGAGCUGUGCUGUAAAUGGAAUCAGCAAUAUCCUGCAGCACUGGAUCCACUUCAACACUUCACGGCCUUAUCCCAGAGACCCUCCCCAGCGGGUGAGCCACGAGGCUGGACAGCGGUUGUGCAAACUCCCCAAAGAGGAGGAGGGAUGUGAGCAAGGAAAUUUGUGUUACCGAGCAGGGACAGAAACAACCGUGCUGUUGUCAUGUCCUCAUCCAGCUGUAGCGACUCAGUCUCCAUCUCGCCCUGAGGAGUUUCUCAGAUCUCCAGAAGAGGUUUCCAGCAGCCAGUGCUGCUGUCAGUGCGUGCAAGGGGCCUGGGAUGAGCACAGCAGCAUCUGCCAGGGCAGUGUUAUGCACGUCCCCUAACCACCAUCCAUGAAUCUACAACGUGUAAUCGGCUGGAAGUGAACCCUCCAGAAAACCCACAUCUGGCAAUUCCCCGGCAAGGAGUGCGGGAGGGAAAGGACACACGGGCACCCAAGGAAAUAGCUGUGCAAUAAACAUGCCCUCUCCUGACCUAAACAGCUGCGAGUUGUUGCUGCACUCGUAUCUCUGGUACUUCUCCCCAUCGCAGUGUCCUACUGUUUCAUCAGACAUCUAAGUGAUGAAGAAUAUUAUUUUCCCUCCACGAAUCCUCAGUUUCUAGAACUGCACAAGUGUAUGAAUAUCUCAGCUUUCCGCUCAAAUUAAGAAUAUAAAGUCAUGUAGCUCAACUGGUUGCAGAUGGAGUGUGCUUCAGGUUAAGUUUCUAUAAUUGCUGAAGUUGAAAGGCAAAAAAAAAGAACUCCCAGUGUUUGUUUUGUCUUUAAUCAUGCCUUUACAAAGUCAGUUUUGUGACUCCCUGGGGUUUAGCAGGAUAUUUUUGCAUAUCUAAGAGAGGCGAUGUUGCCUUCCUCCUCCCCUCUCCAUUAUUUGUCUAUUUCUUUGUGUCAGGUCCAGCUUAAGUUGUGAGCAUUCUCUGGGCUGUGGUGAUAAUUAUAUUUACUCCCCGGAGAUGAUUUUCAUUGGAUUUGCAAACAAGACAGGGCCUAUGAGAUCCUGCUGUCUUUGGCCCUCUGAUCACUUUUGAACCAUUUGCAAAUUUCAAACAAAUUUCUUUAGAGUGUGUCAGUCUCAAGGAGAAUUCAGGGAGGGUUAUUUGUGUUACCCAAAGGGACUGGCAGAAUCCUAUAUUUCUAUGGGCUUUGUAAUCAUAGGUGGCCAGAGAAAAUACUCUGAUAGUCCCACUACGGUGGGCUGCACUGUAAGGUCACCCUUAUUAGAUACCAGAAUCUGGGUGGGACACAUUGCAAACGUCCCAAGAACAGGAAAGGCUUCUCUGGGAGCUUGCAUCUUGCUGAGCAACAGAGCCUAGACCAAGAUCCACGUCCACAGGAAAUUCAGAGUACUCUACUUCCAUUGCUCACAGAAUGACCAGAGUUUUAAUAGGCUUAGAUAUUUAGCUUAUAUCUGUGCAGUGUUCCUGUCCCUGUUUAGGCGGCAUCCCUAACAUCUAUCACAUUAUUUGCCUUCCCCUGCCCUGAGAAAGGAGCAUCUGGGGGCUGGAAGUGCUAUAAAUUUUGCUGUGUGUCAGAUAGAGGAGGCGAUGUCAGAGAAACACACCUUGUGUCUGGCGUUUUGGAAAGUGCUGAACGCUCUGAUCCCUUCUCUUUCUGGAGACAGAGAUGCUUCGUGGGUGCAUGAUUCAGGUUAACUUAAUGAUUUAGCUUCUUUUACAUCGAAAUGAGCUGGUCCAGCACACCCUCCGGGAGCAGCACGGAUGACCUCAUGUCUGGAGGAGCACAGUGCGCCCUGUUCGUCUGCUUCCGGCAGGAACAAAGGCACUUUCUGAGUGUUUGCAGAUUUGAUUUUCGGCAGUGCUCAUCGUCAUUCAAAAAUAAAGAAAGAAAUCAAUAAGUAAAUUGCAGGGCUUUAUGUCUCCG
Long non-coding RNA from Cygnus olor (mute swan), 2314 nucleotides. RefSeq lists it as uncharacterized. The transcript has 5 exons. NCBI's taxonomy places the organism in Eukaryota, Metazoa, Chordata, Aves, Anseriformes, Anatidae. The record is from RefSeq and is a predicted model, not a curated record.